Molecule: long non-coding RNA, 202 nt
Filed under: Mytilus galloprovincialis (Mediterranean mussel)
Lineage: Eukaryota; Metazoa; Mollusca; Bivalvia; Mytilida; Mytilidae
Source: RNAcentral
GCUUUUGAAGAUUUUUCGUCAUAACAACAGUUUUCUUUUCUUGACUAUCAUUAAAAGAAGGAUCGAGAGGAAGCGUCAAAAUUUUGCUUCAACACGUGCGUCGCAAAGUGGCAAAAUCCUGUUUGUGACAUGUGACGGACGACAUUUAACCAUAUCAUUUCAUAUAAUACAAUCAACACCUUUAUUAAUUAGUCCUUUGAUG